UAAUACGGAGGGUGCAAGCGUUAUCCGGAUUCAUUGGGUUUAAAGGGUGCGCAGGCGGAAUGAUAAGUCAGUGGUGAAAUCCUACAGCUCAACUGUAGAACUGCCAUUGAUACUGUCGUUCUUGAGUAUAGUUGAAGUGGGUGGAAUGUAUCAUGUAGCGGUGAAAUGCAUAGAUAUGAUACAGAACUCCGAUAGCGAAGGCAACUCACUAAACUAUAACUGACGCUCAUGCACGAAAGCGUGGGGAGCAAACAGGAUUAGAUACCCUGGUAGUCCACGCUGUAAACGAUGAUCACUCGUUGUUGGCGAUAUACUGUCAGCGACUGAACGAAAGCAAUAAGUGAUCCACCUGGGGAGUACGAUCGCAAGGUUGAAACUCAAAUGAAUUGACGG
RNAcentral lists this ribosomal RNA (393 nucleotides) under uncultured bacterium. Its description in RNAcentral is "bacterial SSU rRNA". It matches the Rfam family "Bacterial small subunit ribosomal RNA", at positions 521 to 916 of the family's 1533-position model. The record is from RNAcentral.